GGGAGAACUCUGAGAUGAUCCAAGUCCAAGCAUUCACCCAGUGCUGCUAAUCCCCCUGCAAACCACCUCGGGUGACGGCAGCACCACCUGCCCCAGCUGGGGAAUUGUGCCUGGAAGCACAGCAGGGAGCAGGACAGGCAGAAGGAGGAGUGGGAGCAGGCCAGGGAAAGGAAAAUGAGGACAGGGUGCCAGGAUGGAGGUGCAGAAAACAAAAUGAAUAGGCAGCACAACAUACAGGGAUUCAAAAAUAAUAAGGGCAGGGAACAGGACAGAAAGAUACAGUAAGAUAAAAUGGUACAGAGAACACAAUGGAGCAGCAGAGAAUAAAAAAGAGGGAUCAUGAAAGAGGCAUGGAGGACAGGUUAAAAGGACAGACAGCUAAAAGGACAGAGCAACAGGGAAGGGGUGUCAGGGACGAGGACCCUGAGCCACAAUGAGAACAUGAGGGGCAGUGUGGUAAGCACACACUAUUUUUAUUUCCUUCAAAUAAAUUAUCUCUUACAUUUUCAAACCUUUUAUUAUUUAAUUUACAUAUAGAAAAGUUAUGUUUAUAUUUCCAAACCCUAUGUAAUUAUAAUGAUAAUUUCUUAUAUUCUAAAAUAUUGUAUAUAAUAGACAUAUUCUUAUUUUGAAGUCAGUUAGUAUAUAAAUUAGUAGUACUUCAUGUACAAAAAUGAGAAACUUUACACUUUUUAAUGCAUAAAUUAAUAUGAGCAGAAAUUCCAUAUUUAUUUAGGGCCUGAUGAUGUCCAGAUCUACACAAGCACACUGUGACAGUAGUGUUUAUUACUAGCUGCAGUUCAUACUGGCACAGAUGGCAUUGGGCAGGAGGGGCACUGAGACAGAAUCACCACUGGUGAACUCGGGGAGAACAGCAGUGACACCAAGAUGUGCCCAUCAGAGCCUGAAGUGUGGUGCCUGGAGCAGUGGAUGGAUAUUUUCACCUUCCUUGAUGUGCUCCCAGUGGCACCUCACAUUCCCAGCCUUGAGAAUCCUGAG
Passer domesticus (house sparrow) is the source of this 999-nucleotide long non-coding RNA. RefSeq lists it as uncharacterized. The transcript is spliced from 3 exons. Lineage: Eukaryota; Metazoa; Chordata; Aves; Passeriformes; Passeridae. The record is from RefSeq and is a predicted model, not a curated record.